Molecule: long non-coding RNA, 872 nt
Organism: Hyaena hyaena (striped hyena)
Lineage: Eukaryota; Metazoa; Chordata; Mammalia; Carnivora; Hyaenidae
Exons: 5
Source: RefSeq, a predicted model, not a curated record
UAUGCCUCCCAGGGGAAGUACUAAUGUAUCAGUCCCCUGGCCAGAUACGUCCCUUUGCACACUGCUCACAGACGCCUCAGGGGAUGUAUUUCCGGUAACUCCCAGAGGGCAUGUUUCUAGAGGGUUCUAAGGCAGAGGCGUCCGAGCUUUACCCCCAUUUUGUGAGUUGCUGCGGGGCUCCUGGAACAAGGAAAUAAUGGCCAGUAAACAAGAGGUGUUUCCUGCCACUCCCAAGAAGAAAAUGAAACGUCGUGAAGUACCCAUUAGUCCUCCUCUGUGUAAGAGAAGGCUGACCUUGACGAUGCUGCCAGUGAUACUAGAAGAAGAGGGAAUAUCCCCAGCCGGGGACACAGCUGUGACCUUGGAAGGUGAUAACCCCAAGGCCACAGCGAUGUCUGUGCUGGGAGAAGUGCCAGGUAACCUGGCACUACCAAGGCAAAUCAGUUCGGAAAUGAAAAGUCAGUUGAAGAAGGAAAUUCAAAGAUUUGGGCAACAAUAUGAUAGAGUCUUCAAAUUGCUUGAAGGAGGGCAAGGACCUAUGGAAUUGCGGGAAAAGUUUUGUUGUGGUUUCCAUGAAGGAGACAAGUAGAUUUAAAAGAUAAGCCUUAAUAAGCCACCUUGAGACGGUACUAGAAAUAUUGGAAUUGGACCAAAUUCUCAACGAAGAUAAUCCACCCCAAAUUUAUAAUCCUAUUAGGGAAAUGAUCAAUAACAAACCAGAACAAGUUGGCUGUCCUAGAAUGGAACCUGAUAUUGUUGAUGCCUCCAGCACGUGUUAGUUAAGAAAAUUGUCUUCUUGAGGCAAAAAAAAAGUGUUAGAACUUAAAUGUUAUAAGUUUCUGUUAUUAAAAGUUGGGCAUUUGCCCUAAGUA